CUCUUGCUGUGGUGUGUGUGGGGGGGCAGUGUGAAAAGGUUUGGCCCACCUGAGUCCCCUGGGCUGGUAGGAGAACUGGGGCCGGGCAGGGGGUGGUGUUGGAACAGGAGGGGUGGUGUGUGAGCCUCUGUGGGCACAGACCCACCGUGGCCCACAGAGGCUCUUUCUCCUCAGACCCGGUGUGCCGUUACCAGAGCCUUCUAGAGGAAGUGUUCUCUGAGCUGAGGGCGGCUCUUUGAUUCUCCAGGCCACAAACCCCCGCAGGCCCGGCCUGGCCAGAGGCGUGCCUGUGCAUCCCGGCAAGUGAGCGCCCAGAGACUCUCGGCCAGAGAGGCUGUGAGGGUGGCUUUGUGAGGAUGGCUUUGUGUGGCUGCACAUUGCCCUUGGCCAAGCCCCGCUGCCAGGAGAGGCAGCUCGGCUGCCAAACCUCCUGAACCCAAGUUACCUGAGCAAGCAGCCCUAUCCCCUCGCCUGCUUCUCACUGCCUCGCCUGCCUUGGGCCUGCCUGACUCAGGGGGUCACAUGCCUUGUUCCCCAUCAGUGGAGACCAGGGACAAGAAGACAGCUCUGUGGGAAGAGCCAGGAGGACCAUUUGGGAAAAUACAGGUUCCAGGUGUGUCUCCAGACCUUGAGAGUUGGUGUCUCCUGGGAAGAGGCCCUGAUGAGAUCUGGGGAGAUUCGGAUCUGAUGAGAUUCAGGAAGCCCUGGCCUCUCCGUACUUGAGGAGAUGGGACACACAGGACAAGUUGCAGGCUGGUGAGCAGGUUCACCUUCUAUUUUGAAGACCCGCUUCUUCCUCAGGUACCUGAUCUUGAAAACGACCUCCCCUUUCAGUUCUGGAGGCCAGAAGCCCAAAAUCAGUCUCGCUGGGCUAAUGUCAAGGUGUCAGUCGGGCUGGUUCCUUCUGGAGGCUCCAGAAAAGAAUCUGUUUUCUUGCCUUUUCUGGCUCAGUUUCUCGGCUUGUGGCUCCUUCCUCCAUCUUCAAAGAGCAUCACUCCAAUCUGCUCCUCCAUCAGGUCACCUUCUGCCUGACUCCUACAUCCCUUUCAGAAGGACCCUUGUGAUUCCAUGAGGUCCACCCAGAUCAUGCAGGAUAAUGUCCCCGUCUCAAGAGGCUUAAGCUAAUCACAGGUGAAAGCCCUAUACGAGGUGUCAUGGACAGAUUCUGGGCCUAAAGACAUGAACAUCUGUGGGGGCAUCACUCAGACUUCCACGGGUGACAAGGGCCCCAUGGUGGGAGGAGAGAAGAGGAGGAAACGGGAUAGUGAGGAUUCACCAGGAGACUGGCCCGAGAAAGGAGACACGGAUUGGACAGGCUCAGCCAGUGGAAGACUGUCCUGCCUGGAGGGAAGUGGCUUUUAGGAGUUUUUUCCUGAGCCUGUUGUGUCUCCUUCCCUCUUUUCUCCCCCAAAUCCAACUAGAAAACUAGAAACAUAAUCUGUUGUGUUGACUCCAUAGGUCUUGCUUCCCCUCAACCCAGACACCCACUCGCCCAAGGGUCUUCCAGCUGGCUGAGUUGGAACCUGCAUUUUUUAACCACAAGGAAAAGAAGCCCAGAGCUACCAAGAAUAAUAUUUUAUUGACUUGGAAUGAGUUUUGGAAUCUGUAUUUUUAACAAGCUGCCCAGGUGAUUUUGAUGAUCAGACAGUUUGAGGUGGUUUUUUUUUUUUUUUUUUCCUUUCCUCUUUCUCUUCCCUUCAGUAAACUGUUUUUCAACUUUGUUUUUCAGUGAAAACCAUUUCCUCCUCGUCGUGGCGCAGGUCCAGAGGCUGCGCCCAUCUCUCCCACGUCAACAGUCCUGUGUCCUUGGCGAAGGACUGUUCUCUCACUCAGUGCCUUUCCUCUCUUCCUGGGCCAAAUCCCUGCUUUGCGUCUCCCUGCAGCUCAUAAAAAGCUGAAUUACCUGAGGCAGGGAAAGCCCCACCCACUGUCAUUCUCAGGGAGGAGUGGAGUCUGCAGAGGCCGCAAUGCACAGCUUCCCUUUCCCCCUCCACCCAUGUUUUCCCAGAGCAGCUCUGUUCCAGGCCCGGGGGUGUCCCUGGGCCAACGUGGAAUCCAGCCCUGACCACCUCCCAAAGCCAACAGCCCUGAGUGAGCGCGCAGAGAAGCAAGAGCUGUUCCUGAUGCAGAGCAAAGACAUCUCCCUGUCAAGGGGGAUGAACUGAUUUGGGACAAAAGGCAGUUGUUGGCUGAGGAAGGCAGGAUCUGGGGGAGCCCUGUGCUGAGUGGAGGUGGGUGGGUGUAUUUCCUUGGCUCACAGAGGCCUCUUGUCUGGUGGGAUCAGCUCCUCCAGCCAGUUGCCACCUGGUCCAGCUUUGGGAGAUGUGGAGAAUGACUUUCACAGUGAUUUCCACUGGGCCAUGGCACUGAAACAGCUGCAGGAGGGGACACAGCUGGUGCCACCCCUACUCCGUCCAUUAGAGCUGCUGUGAAGGAAUGCCACCCUCCCCAUGGGGAGUGAGGGGGCCCUACUUGCUGUGGUUGGUUCCAGGGACCAUGGGAAGAGGCGAACCCCUAUUUUCAAGGGCACAAGUCGGCUUUUAUUAAAAUAAAGUUUCAUCAUCACUUAUUCCAGUGGCUCCCAGACUUGGCUAAACAUCAGGAUCACCCAGGAUGUUUGUUAAAAAAUAAAGAUUAUGGCCGGGUGCAGUGGCUCACGCCUGUAAUCCUAGCACUUUGGGAGGCCCAGGCGGGCAGAUCACUUGAGGUCAGGAAUUCGAGGCCAGCCUGGCCAAUAUGGCGAAAUGCUGUCUCUACUAAAAAUACAAAAAUUAGCUGGGUGUGGUGGUGCAUACCUGUAACCCCAGCUACUCGGAGGCAGAGGCAGGAGAAUUGCUUGAACUUGGGAGGCAAAGGUGGCAGUGAGUCGAGAUAGCGCCACUGCACUGCACUCCAGCCUGGGUGACAGUGCGAGACUCUUGUCUCAAAAAAAAAAAAAAAAAAAGAUUAAUAAAAAUAAAGAGUUUUAGAACUCAUCCUAGACGGAAUCAAUCAGAAUCUCUUUGGGUAGGCUUGGGCUGGAAUCAGUGCGAAAUCUGUCUAAUCAGAUUGCUUUCCUGAUUCCAGACGGUUGAGCCCAUAGAGCAGGAGUGAGAAGAUGGAAGGGCGAGGGGGCUGGGAAUGAUGAAAACUUGCGCUUGCAGCCACCAUUCAUUAGAGAGCGCCGGGGGCCAGCUGCAGAACUGUAGACUCCUCAUACAUCACCGUGUUGAGUCUUCAAAGCAAACCUAUGAGGUGUGCCCAAUUGUUUCCAUUUUGCUGGUGAGAAAAUGGGAGCUCAAAGUGGCCACACACACAGCUAAUAAGAGGCAGAGCCAGGACUCAGGCCCAGAUCUUUCUCUUGACUCCUCUGCCGUGGAAGGGAUCAUGAGAAAACCUGGCCCCAGCUCCGGAGUCAGGCCAGCACAUGACCCAACUGUCAUGCCAGCACAAGCUGCCUUCUGGACACUUCUCUGGUGGGCUCUCUCUGUCUCGGGGCUUCAGCUGCCCCCUGCUCACUCCCCUCACAUCAGUCACUGUGUAGCUGGGGACACAGAGGUGGCUGAGACAUGGCCAUCAUCAAGGCAGGGGGUUCAUGGAAAGGGCAUGAGCUACAACCAGGACAGAGGGCUUCUGGUUCCAGUGUCACCACCCAGAGCUCUGAAAGGGGCCCCAGCACCCUUUUAGAUGGACUAGAUUGGGUGGUCUCUGGGGGUCCAUCCACUCUUAAAAAGCAGAGUCUGAUCACCUGACUGCCCUGGCACCCCCCCGCCACUCCAGCACGUGGCCCUUGCUGACACAUCUGCCCUGCAAGGCUGAUGAGCUGUGGCUUCUUGCCUCUUUGGCUCCUUCCAGCACCCAGGAGUUUCUGGUACAUAGUAGGCGUUCAGUGGGGUGACCCUUCAUGGAUAAUCAGCAAUUAUGUAUUAGGCACUAUUGAUAACUGCAGACACUGGACUAAAAUACUAGGAAUUCAGAGAGGGCCCUACCUCUAUGGAGUUUAUAGCCUCGUAGGGGAGAAAGAUAGAAAACACCAUGAAUCGAUUACAAUUGUGGUCAGUGCUAGGAAGAAAAAUAAUAGGAUAGUUUAAGAAUGGGACUGGGGGGAGUUCUAAUUUAGACAGAGGCAUUAGAAACAUUUAACCUGAGACCCGAAGGAUGAAUAAGAGCCAUAUGGAAACUGGAGGUAAGGUGGGAGUGGGGACAGUGUUUUGGGCGAAGGGAGCAGGAGUUGCAAAGGCCCUGAGGUGGGGAGGAUGGACACCAGGGAACCCAAUGAGGGCCAGUGUGGCUGCAGGGAGUGAGCUGGCAGGAGGGGCUCAGGAGCAGCAACUGAUAUUGAAGAUGGCCAAGGUCAGACCAUCAGGGUCUUGUGUUUUUUUGUUUUGUUUUUUUUUUUUCUGUCGCCCAGGCUGGAGUGCAGCGGCGCGAUCUCGGCUCACUGCAACUUCCACCUCCUGGGUUCAAGCAAUUCUCCCGCCUCAGCCUCCCGAGUAGCUGGGAUUACAAGCACCCGCCACCAUGCCCGGCUAAUUUUUAUAUUUUUAGUAGAGGCGGGAUUUCUCCACGUAGCCCAGGCCGGUCUCGAACUCCUGACCUCAAGUGAUCCACCCACCUCAGCCUCCCAAAGUGCUGGGAUUACAGGUGUGAGCCACCAUGCCCCACCAGCCAUCAGAGUUUUAUAGCAAGAAUUUUUACCUUUGUCCUUAGUGCAAUGGGAAAUCCUUGAAACGCUAUUAUUGCCUUCCUCUGCAAGGAAAGGUUAUUUUGGUGAGCAGUGGAUAGAGGAAAUGCAGAGGGAGCCACUAAAGGGUUCUGGUGAGAUCUGGAGCCCUGCUGGGAUAAUCUGACCAGAGAAAGCAAAGAUUCCAGAGAGCUAGGCACACUUGCCCUACCUCCAGCUGCACACAGCUGGUUCCAGCUUUGUCCUGACCUUCAGUCUGGCAUACAGGGUAGACCCACUGGUACCUGGUACCUCACUCUGGGGGUGAGGUGGCCACCCACCUAGGUCUGGGCCCUGUAGCAGUUUGGCAGCAACAUCUGGGUGAUAAGAGAAGGCGAUCUGACCUACUCCCAGGGACAAGAAGCUUUGACUCUUCAAGAUCAUAAAGGCUUCCCUCCUGUCCUUGGGUCCUCCUGUUGCCGGAGAGGUGAGGUGGGGUGAGGGUCCUCCGGGAGGGCAGGCUUAGCAGAGCCCAGCACCAUCUCAGCAGACACUGCUCUUCUCCUACUCUCAGCACCUCCAAGGCAGUGAGUGGCUUUCUCUUAUCUAGAGGACAAAAUCCGUUCCUCACCUGGACACAGUGAACCUGUCUGUGGGAUUCAGGGAGCAUCAAGGAGGGAAUUUAGUUUCCGCAGACUUCAGGGAAGACUUUCUGGAGGAGGUGAUGCCUGAGAGCUAUCCAGGAGAGAAGAGUGAAAAAAUGUUAAGCAGUGGAAAAACAUGAACCAAACUGUGGCUGCAUCUUGCCUUAGGUAUGUGUAGGUAGACUCAGCAUUUUGCUGUUUCUGGGCAUAAAGCACAGUACCAUCUGCCCUAGGAAGCCCUUCUGCCAUAGUAAACAGCCCCACAUGGCUUCCAAAGGGCUCUUGGGCACUUCAGGGACCAGUGCCCAGCACACUGCUGGGGAGGCCAGGCUGUGCCUGGGUGGCCUGAGCUCUGGGAGUUUAAGCCAACGUGGAUUAUUGUUAGGAGUGAGUUUCAUAGCCCUGCCUCUCCCAUUCAGAGAUCUCCACUCCCUACCCAGCAGCCUUGAGUAGGGUCUAGGAUUCUUCUCCCCACAUCACAGGUGGGCAGAGGAGGACUCUGCCUUAGGGAAGGUUGAAAUUAAGAUCCUAAACUAAGUUGGGCUGGGGUUAAUUCUUCACAGAUGGAGGAUCUCCUUCAGCACGGGCUGAGGGCUGAGGGCCCCAGAUCAGGGCAUCAGACUCCCGGGGCUGCUUGCAGGGUAGAGAGGACCUCCAUUCUGAUGAGUCCCAGGACUCAGCACUGAGUAGAGAGGGGAGGGGCCGUGCCCAUUUGACCAGACGUCCGAUAAGGCAAGAGACUCUUGUUUUAGCAUCAGAGCUGGAAGAGGCCCAGGGAGACUGUCCCUUGAAGCUUGAGGCCCUGAGAGGGACACUGGCUAUGGAAGGUUGAACAAUGGUCCCCAAACAUGUUCACAUCCUUAUCCCAAGAGCCUGUGAGUAUGUUCUCUUAACAGGGCAACAGGGACUUAGCGCGUGCAAUCAAGGAUCUCCAGAUGGGGAUAACCCAGGUGUGCCCAACCUAAUCUCAGUGUCCUUGGAAGAGGGAUGCAGAAGGAGUCAGAAUCAGAGAAGAAGGUCACACGAUGAAGGAAUCUGAAAUUAGAGUGAUGCUCUUUGAAGAUGGAGGAAGGGACCACAAGCUGAGAAACAGAGGUGGCCACUAGACACUGAAAAAGGCAAGGAAGUGGAUUCUCCCCUGGAGCCUCCAGAAGGAACCAGCUCUGCCGACACCUUGACAUUAGCCCAUUGAGACUGAUUUAAGGGCUGCUGGCCUCCAGAAUUGUAAGAGAAUAAACGUGUGUUGUUUAAGGGCCUUGGUUAGUAGCGAUUUGCUACAGCAGCUGCAGAAACCUAAUAAGUACAGGUUCCGGCUAGAGACGCAGAACUAGCCAGCGGCCGAUCCUGCUCCGGGACCCAGCAGGCCCCAGCUCUAUGGAAUCCUGUCGCACACGGGAUGGACGUGGGCUAGAGGCGGAGGAAGGGGAGGAAGUGAAGAUCUUCAGACUAAGAUGGAUGAAGCUGAAUUCAGAUCUCAGCUCCAAGGUGAAUGAGCAAACAGCACAGAAAAAGAAAAAGCAGUAUAUGUGGAAGAAAGCAAGAAAAAUCAACUGGCCUGGAACCUAAGACUUGUCCAAAGAUGUCACAGAGAGUAAAAUGAGAAAAAUCCAGUAGCCCGUGCCCAGAGCAGUUCCUCGUACCCAGCAGAAGGCUAACAAGCCCUGAGAUGAACGAUGCUCUUCCCAAGGAAGGCAGAGGAGGCGACAGUCCAUUUGCGUUCUCUCCUCUGCAAGUACAGGAUCUCAUUUGAUUCUCAAAACCACCCUAGAGGAGAUAGGAGGCACCUGAGGCCCAGAGAUGUGAAGCCACCUGUCCAAGGCCAUACAGCAGGCUGGUCCCAUGACAGCCACAUGCAGGGCCCACCUGCCCUGCCAACACCGUGCUCAGGGCAAACACAGCUCUAGGGACACUCUCCUUGGAUGCAUCCUACUUAACAGUCCCCCGAACACACCCACAUGGACUCCAGCCUCAGAUUCCCAAAUGUCCUGCCCCAACCCACUUGCAGGGCCAGGUCAGUCCCCACUAGAGGGUGGGAGGGGAGGUGGUAGUGGGGAGGAGGGAAGGGGAGAGGCUGGGUAAAGGGCUGGAAUUGAAUAGCUGCUUUCUUCUCAGAGGCUUCCCCCACCUCCAAGUGGUCACUGAUUAACCCUCUAGACCAGAUAAACCCUCCAUGGGAGGAAAAAAAUGUGUGUUUAUCCUGGGUCAUAAAACAUCAAUAUUGACUUCCCACAGGUAAAGCCCCAGGGGAAGAGGAGGUGGGGGCUGUGGGAGCAAGCCAGCCUGGGACACUCUUGCCUGACACCCAGAGGCCAGCACACACAUUCUCCUUCCCUAUCGAGAAGAAGCCAGAUUCCCACCCCGCCUCCACCUCAAAGGCAUGCCCUGAGCCAGAGGCCUGGUCUCGCUGGGCCUCUUCUCUGCAACCCGCAGCUGCAUGGAGCCCCUUCCCCUUCCUGCAUUGCCCCUCUGCCCUGCUCCCUGCAGAUAACAGAGUUAUACCGGACCCAGGUCAGGAAUCAGACUGCCCCUGCUCUGCUGUUUCCCAGCUCCAGGACUUGGACAAGUGGCCCGAUUUAUGCCUCAGUUUCCUCGUUUAUGAAAUGGCCAUAGUAAUAGCACCCUGCUCUCAUCACUGUUUAGGAUGAUCAAACAAGAUCACGUACGCAUAUAACAAGCACUAGAGCUGGUCCUGCUGUAAACAGCAUCACUCACUCUCUCUCCUCUCCUCCUGCCUCUUGAUACACAGCCCUUUGAGGACCUUCCUCCUUGCUCUUGGCUGAGGCCUCCCUGAUGGGGUGGACAAGACCAUAUUCACACAGGGCCAGAAACCAGAGGUGGUCAUGGUCCCGCCAGGACUGGGGGAUCUCUCAUCCCUCUUCCCUCUGGCCUAGAAUGAAUCAGCUCUCCUAACACCCUCUUGGGCUGGCAUUUUCCAUCAGAGGGCCUGAGGAGGGUGUCUGUGGCCAUGUGCUGCUCCGGGUGGGGACUCCGUGUCUAAGCAUGCAGCUCCACACAGCUCAGGGACCCUCACACCUUCAUUCUGGGGUCUUCUCUCUGUCCUCCAUCUCCUUCCUUUUUGGGGUAAAGGUGUUUCUCCCCCUCCUCCCUGUCCUUCUGAGGGUAAGAAUGAGGAUGUUCUCCAUGCAGAAUCUCCAGCCACCCUGGCCUGGGCACUUUCUACCACAUUUGAUCCUGGACUUGGGGAGCAGUGGGGGAGGCAUUUGGGGCUCCUUGAUCCUUACUCAA
This is a long non-coding RNA of Pan troglodytes (chimpanzee), 8532 nucleotides long. RefSeq lists it as uncharacterized. NCBI's taxonomy places the organism in Eukaryota, Metazoa, Chordata, Mammalia, Primates, Hominidae. The transcript is spliced from 7 exons. The record is from RefSeq and is a predicted model, not a curated record.